UUUAGUACCCAAAUUAGAGAAUGGUUCUGUCCCUGGAACUCAAAAUUAACACCUUGUGGCAAAAAUGGGUGGUUCUCUGGAAGUAUGGUGCAAAUGACAUGAGAGCCGAAAAAUCAACUUGUUCAAAACCAGGUAAAAAUAAUACAUGCUUUAAAUCAGGGGUCGGGACCUAUGGCUCGCGAGCCAGAUAUGGCUCUUUUGGUGACUGCGUCUGGCUCGCAGACAAAUCUGACAUUCGUUUACACAAUUGAAGUCAUAAAUAAUUUUGUUAUAUUAUCAAAG
Syngnathus acus (greater pipefish) is the source of this 282-nucleotide long non-coding RNA. RefSeq lists it as uncharacterized. The record is from RefSeq and is a predicted model, not a curated record. The transcript is spliced from 2 exons. Lineage: Eukaryota; Metazoa; Chordata; Actinopteri; Syngnathiformes; Syngnathidae.